This is a long non-coding RNA of Equus caballus (horse), 7386 nucleotides long. RefSeq lists it as uncharacterized. Lineage: Eukaryota; Metazoa; Chordata; Mammalia; Perissodactyla; Equidae. The record is from RefSeq and is a predicted model, not a curated record.
GCGCUGGGAGAAGCAGCGCUAUAGACAGCCUGGUGAACCAAGCUGAGCAGCUUGAAUUUCGUCUGGAGAGCUGCAGGGGAGCCUCCGAAGGGCUGUGAGCAGGAGACUGACAUGUUUUGAUCAACUUGACCAGAGAAAUCAGGCAGAAGCAGAGCAUGUCAAAAACAGACCAAGGGGAUCAAAAUGAAAGCUUAUUGGGGCACCGAGCUGAAAAGGGUCACUCUCCUCAGGAGAGAGCAAGGCCUUUCUCAUGGGGGCCCUCCUUCCCUGGUACUCACCCCCUUGAUCCCCUUCCCAGCUGAGCCUGGAUCCCUGGGUAUUGCUUGACCUGCUUCAAAGAAGUCGUCAGAACUCCGCAGACCAGCCCUGCUCCCUCACCUCUAAGCACUUUCUUCAUCCCGACCAGCAAAGACACAGAGGGAAAAAAGGCAAAUGGAAAAUGAAGCUGUGGUCACAGGCGGAGCACUGGGCCUGCCAUCCCUUCAUAAAUUAAAUGUAAACUGUAAAAAUGGAUUAUUUCAGGCGUAAUUGCCAUUAUUUUCUAAUAUAGAAAGAGCAGGGAUGAACGCUGUGAUGGAUUACGAGCCAGAAGGAAGAGAGGCAUUUAAUUAAUUUCACGAACCUGCUGGAAAAGCCAUCCGUGUGGAGCUGAGGGGCUGCCUCAGGCCACGCCAGGCUGCAGCUGGCUCUGCCAGGCAGAGGCCCCGAGCCGGGGUCUGCCCUGGCCUGAGAGCCCUUCCAUGGUGGGCUGAGGCCUGGGUGGCCUGCAGAUGGGAAAGGAAUGGCAGGUCUGGGGCCCUGGUGCUGCCUGCCAGCGUGGGCCCAGCUCUCAGGAUGGCUCUAGAGUCCUGUCUGGAUUUGAGUGGCAGCAGAAAGGGCUGGCUUGGCAAGUGGGAGGUCAGUGGAGGACCAGAAUCUGGGCUCUGGAAGGUCAAGGUCAAGUCUGGAUGCUCAGCUGAGUCCUGAACUCAGCCUAAGCCAUGGGAACUGCAGGCGGGCUUUGAGGAGAAACCCAAGGUCACUCCUCCCGCCACUGGGCUCAGGGACCCCCGCUUCAGCUCCAGUCCUUACGAGCGAGCCCCCAUUGCCCUCUCUAGCUCUACUAACUGGAUCCUGUCUUGUCGUUUGGGUUCCUGGCCAUCAGGAUGACAAGCCAUUUGAUUUAAAACCCACCAUGCGCCCAGGUACCAUAUAGUACAUGCUCUGUGAACGCCAUCUCUUUGAGUCCCCUUGACGACCCCACGAGGGGGCGCGGUUCCCAUUUAACGUGAGAAGCUUGAGGCUCAAAGGGUUAAGCAGUUUCCCAUGUAGUGAGUGGCAGAGUCGGGAUCCAAACCCAGGUCUCUGGCCUGUCAAGCCAAUCUCUCCCCUCUGUGCCCCCAGCCACUGUCCCCCCUCUACCCCACAGUCCCCGAGGGUCCUCAUUAGACCUGUCCUGGGGUUGGGUUGCUCUAAUCGAGAGGGGAGAUUUCUGGCAUACAGUGUGGCCACUUUGAGAAGCAGCCUUUCCCAGCCACCUUCAGAGCUGGGUCCUCUCCCAACCAGACCCGCUUCCCACACCAUCGCGUGGUUGCCAAAUUGAAUGGCAAAGUGCAGAUGAAAGGACAGGCCCUCAUCCCAGGGCCCCUCUCUUUCCCCCAAUCUUCCUUUCCUAUCUCCAGCUGGCUCGUACAUUGCUCAACUGCACCCUCUAGCACUAGGCCCAGAAGAUGCAAUUUUUCCUGCACCGGAAGCCCCACUAAGCAUUUGCUAUUUGCUGGGCGCUGAGCUAAAGAUAGAAGUCAAAGGCGCGAGUCUGCCUUCAGGAAGCUCGCAGCCUAGGAGGGGAGACAGACAAGCAAACAGGUGAUGACAAAUUCUACAAACCACUGCUGGGACAGACCGAGGCAGGGGCCGAGGGGUUCCACGGAAGGGUCCAGGUGGAGGUGUGGGUAGGCAGGGGACACUUCCACAAACUCCCAAAAUGAUGAGAAGAGCAUAGAAGAGCCUUCCAGGCUGGGUGCCCAGGUCUGCUGCAGGAAGGGAGGGAGGAAGGAGCAUUUGGGGAACUGCUGAGCGCUCAGUGGGUGCAGGCUGGUGGGAGAGGAGAGAGCCGAGACCCGCACAGAGUCAAGAGUUGGGUCACAAAGGAUGUUGCAUCUUUUUUUGAAAUCCGUGGGACAUCAUUGAAAGAAUUUAGAAGCAAGAGACUGAGCGACGUGAACAAACCUCCCUUCAGAGAGAUGAAGCUAGUGUCAGCACAGAGCAAAAAGCAGAGGGCUCCCGAAAGGGGACGCUGAGGGCAGCCAGAGAAAGUGCUGGCUUAGACUAGGCUGGGGCAGUGUGGAUGGAGGGAUGGGGAGAUUUGGGCUGCUAUGGAGGUGGCAUUGGGAGUUUUUCUCAGACAGAGAUUUCCUUUAAACUAAGAAGGAAGCAGAAGAGGAAAAGCAGCUGUUUACCUUCCAGACCCCUUCCUGAUUCCCUCUGGUCCCCAGGACACGCUCGCCAUGUUUAUUUUCCUGCCCUGUCUUGGGCUGUCAGGACACGUAACUCGGAAUUGAGUGAGCAACAGCAUCCUGACACUCGUGUGAUUCAUGGUCCCUGUGACGGGCGCUCGGGAAGCUGGUGUGGCCUCGGCCGCCCCUGGCAUCUAAUUGAUUUAAUACAUCAGCUAAGGAACUGCUGUUUCCUGAAUGAAACCCAAAAUUGCAUUGACUCUUCGGCUGCAGCUGAGCGGGACUUCACUCCAGUGCUCCAAAUGCAUACACGGAGGUGGCACUGGAGUGGCAGGGACUGUCGCCAAAGGUAAUAAGCGCGCCUUUGAUCUGUUGUCUUCCCCUUCUCCUCAGGGGAAGGCACGAACACGGGAGAAAGCAAAGAGCUGCGUGGGAGGCUCUUUAGAGGGUGACGAUGGCCAUUUGUAAGAAAACAGGUUUCCCUCUACACCCCACACACACAGCGGGGUUCAGAUAAUGAACGUUGUAGAAGCAGCUCUCAUCUGAAAGGAACUAAUUGAUUCCAAUAUUCAUUUUACAGGGCCUGUAAUUCUUUGUUAUGCCUCUUUUUAUGACCUGGGAGGCUCUGGCACCGAGAUGCUGUGUAAUCCACACAAUUAUCCUUUAUUCAACAGCAGGACAAAUGGUGCUUUGUGUCAUUAAGAGGGUGCCCGACUUUCACCCCGUCACUCUUCUUUUCCCUCCCGAGACAGGUGUGUCAAUCUCGGAGCUCCACAAGCUGCUCUUCCCCUCUGAGAAGAAAGACGAGAACGGGACGCCUCAAAGGAAUUUCGGAGAUGAAUCUGAAAUCGCAGCCACCUUUCCUCCAGCUUCCAAGAUAAGCGGGCACAUCUUUGGGAAAAGCACACUUCAAGAUGGUUCCCCCGUGGCAGAUGGCUGCUGCAGCUCCAGACAUUUUCAUGGCAUUCCAGGCAAGAAGAAAUGGAAAGAGGUGACUGCAACCAUGUCUGUUCCCUUUAAUCAAGAGGGAAAAAAAACUUUUCCAGAAGCUUCUGCUAAUAGAUCAAUGGCCAUCCCUAGCUGCACGGAGGCUGGGAAAGUGAGAUUUUAACUUUUCUAGCACCAAUAGUGGAAGCAGAGCUGCUAAGACACCGCUACAAAGAUGAGACAAUGGAGACCUCUGACAAGGCUGACGUGUGGGAUGUCAUUUUUAUCCAUCAGCACAUGGUCGGCUAUGCUGUAAUCACAAGCAGCACCAAAUCUCAGUGAUUUAAUACCACACGAGUGUACUUCUCACUCACCCUACUUGCCCACUUGAAAUGCCAUCGUGGAGGACACUCAAAAAGUCCACUUGAGGCUCUGUUCCUCUCAGUCACCAUCUGGUCACACGCAUCCGGGAGUCCCACAGCUGUGGGAAGGAAACACGGAAAGCUGUGCACUAGCUCUUAAAGUUUCUGCCCAGGACACCGGUCACUUCUGCUCAUGCUGCACUGGCCAAAGUAAGUCACGUGUGCCCAGAAAGAGGAGAAGUGGGAUCCUUGUGAGCAGACCUAAUGAACUCAUCCCAACAGAGGUGGCCUGGAGCUGCCAGCCAACCAGGCUGCUGCUGCUGCUUGUAGAGGUGAAAGUCACUCACAUUUUAGUAACAAUUAGAGCACCUACCUUGUGGCGCUAGCUCACUAGAAUGUGAGCUUCAGGAGGGCAGGCAUCUCUGUCUAUUUUAACCGCUGAUGUAUCAGCACCCACAACAGUGACCGACACAAAUUAGGUCUCAACAAAUAUUUGUGGAAUGAAUUUUCAACUCAUCAAACCUCAUAACAGCCCCGAUGAAGCAGGCAUGAUAAUUAUCUGCAUUUUACAGGGGAGGACGGUGAGGAUCAGAUAAGUGAGUAAAUCACCAGAGCUCAGCACCUUGACUCAGAAGUGGGAACAGGAGUACCUGAGGGAGAGCUCGUCUCUGCUCCCUGCAUACGCUUCUCUCCCUUGUAGCAAGACGCUGCCGCCUCCCUUUAUCAGUCUGGGCAUUUCGUUGGCAGGGGUAUUCCUUGAACAUCCCCAGUCAGCUGGCUUCCGUGAAGGACUCGGUGUGUGCUGGACACUGUCACUGCUGGCCUUGGCCUUCAAGGAACGCCCGGCGAGCGUGAUCCUCCAAGGCAGAUAUUUUUGAGAUGAGGGAAAAUCCACCCCACGGAGAUGACAAUGGAGAAGAUGGCAUCUCAAAGCUCUCGAGGGCACCAGGCCUAGGGCUCCUGGGCCUGUUCGUCAUUUUUGGUAGAACCAGAAGUCAGCGCUUCUAGACCUGUCACAUCACCCAGGGGGGGUGGGCGUCAGCUGGUUUUGCCCUGUGGCAUUUGUUCCCCUUUCUGCUGGCCACCCCACCCCAUCUCCCCCUGAGGACCUGGUCUCCCCUGGGUGCAGCCUGGCAGUCCUGUCCAUCCAGGUGUCCUGCCUUCUGCUGGCCAAGGAGCGGGGGUCUCCAGAGGUUGAUGUAAUGACGUGGACCCCUCCUGGUGCUGGUUCCCUGGCAAAGGUGUUCAGUGGGGUCUGCUGCCCUGCUCUCGGACCCCUGUCUGGUUCUUGACCCUAUCCUCCAGCUCUGUGAGCACCCCGCCCCCCUCCAUCCUAUAAAUCCCUUUCUGCAGAGCUCAGCCAGACUUGCAAGUCUGCUGCAUGCAACCAAAAUAACUUAACUGAGGCGGGCAGGGUUACUAAUUCCAGAGCUGGAGGGCAGCUCCGAGACCAUUUGAUCCAACCCUUUUAUCCUAUAGCUGAACAAAUUGAGGCCUAAGAGUAAAUUGAAGUCUGGAGAGUGGACACAUAAUGGCAGGAGCGCUGAGUGCUUUCUGUGAGUCAGCCGUUCUGCUAAGCGUCCCCGACAACCCCACAGCCCAAUCCCAGGAUGGCUUCCCGUUUUGGAGAUAGGAGACCAGAGCACAAAAGUGCUGGGCAACUUUCCCAAGUCCCACAGCACCAAAGUGGUAGGGCGAGUGCCUGAGUCCAGGCGAUUUGGUUCCAGAGCCCAGGCUGUCCCCUGAUGGGCUCUCUUCCUGUCCUGGUUUGCCCCGGGACAAACAGCUGCACGAAGACUGGCCCCCCCGGGGCUCCUGGGUCCUGCACAGGUCGGACCAGGUCUUCAUUGGAUCUGUGGUCAACAGGUUGGUACCAGACUCGCGUGGGGGUCUUCCCUCCCACCCUCCUUUCCUUCCUGGUUUCUCUGGGUCUGGUGGGGUCCCCAGUUUUCUGUUUUGAGGGCUGUUUUUGAAAGCAAGGUGAGCAACUGGGCAAUUCAGGAGUCUUCUACAGGCCCACGGGCGUCUCCUGUCACCAUGGUCGGGAGAGCCUGCCCAUCCCCAGAGGGGCCAGGCCCGGGGCCCCAUAGGGUCGGGCCCCACAGAGCUCCCAGAAGGUCACCUUUCCCUCUGGGGGCCUGCAUCAUGCCUGGGCUCUGCAGGGUGUGCCGUGGGCAGGUCCCACGGAGCAGGUGCAUGGAGGAGGCGCUUGCCGGGUCCUACACAAGAGCAGGGCCUCCUCCAACCCCCAUGGAGGCCUUGGCGAGGCUCCUGCUGGCUCUCGCCUCACUACCCACUUCUUCCCAGGUAGCCCGCUUCCAAGACCUCAGCCUGGCCUCUCGCAGCCUCCCCACCCCGGGAGGGAGGAGCCACCCUUCUUGCUCCCUUUCGGUAACCCGAAAAUGCCAGCCGGGCGGGCCUCACCCAAAUGCCGGAAGUUCCCCUCUCCUUCAGCUCCAGGAGGGGAGAGAUGAGCUUCGGCUUCUUGCAAGGCCUCCCGGUCCAGCGGCGUGGGCGGAGCCUCCUUCCCGGUUCCCGGAGAGGCAAGCCCCUCACCGGCCCGCCGCGAUCAUUCUGGGGCAGCCGGUGCCCAUGUCACUCUGUCAGCCGGGCUCUCAUCUUGCCCCUCGUGAAGAAGGAACCCUAGGAUUUUGCAUCAGGGGACAUGGCCUCGUUUUCUAAGUUUCGAUGCGUGUCUGCACGUGGCUGGUUCCCUGCUUCCCGAGAGUGGGAGCCGGGUCAGGGGUUUCUGCUCUCUUCUCUGGAGGGGGGAGGGGCUUUCUGGUUGUCUCCGCACACCGUCACCCACCCCGCAGAUAUUUAGGAGGAGAUGACAGGGUGCGUGAUGAUGCGCAGGGCGGGCCUCACCUCCGCGAGCGCUGAGCAGAGCAGACAGGCAUUAAACACGCAGUGACAGGCCGGGCGGGAGCAUCACAGUGCCACACGGCAGGCAGCCAGCGGACCGAGCCGUGGGGAAGGCCUCUUCCCGGAGGGGAGGUUUAAGCUGAUGUGUGGGGAGACCCGUGUGGUUUAGCAGGAAGAGAUAGGUGGGGUGGGGAGGGGACAAUCCAGACAGAGCAUGGGUCCCCUGACAAGCAGAGCAAAGAUCAGAAUGGCUAAAACUGGAGUUCAAGAGGCUGAGGGCAAAGACCUUUAAUUCAGCAGUUCAUUGAUACCCACGUGUUCUAGGUGCUGGGAGAGAGGGAGCUGGAAGGCUGGCCAGGUUGUGGGAGGACAGAGGGGUUCAAACGUUAUGCCGAGAGCAAUGGGAGCAAUUACAUCAUUUAAGCAAAGGAAUACUAGGGUUCACUCCCACCUUGGGGAACUCACUCUGGGUACCGUGUGGAGCUGGGAUCGGCAGAGGUGAGGCUGGAGGCAUGGAGGCUCCAUCAGGAGGCUGUCGUGUAAGCCAGAUGACACACAGGUGGCUUGGACUAAGGCGGUGAGAAGAAAAUGGAGAGGAAUGGGUGGCUUUGUGAGAUACUUAGGAAGUAGAAUCAAUAGGUGGCAAGGAGAGAGAGAAGAUUUAAUAAAAUGUUGCCUUGGGCCUAGUGGUUAAGUUCAGAGUGUUCCACUUCGUCAGCCGUGGUUUGGUUCCUGGAUGUGGACCUACACCAUUCGGUUAACAGCCAUGCUGUGCUGGCAGCCCACAUACUAAAAAA